CAAAAAGGUCUCAGAUCUGUGUGACACGAUGGGACAAACAGCUCUUCUUUGGCCGCUCUUCCUGAUGUCGCUGCUAUGCUGGGCAACAAACCACGCUCGUCUGACUGUGAGUCCCAG
Long non-coding RNA from Pundamilia nyererei, 117 nucleotides. RefSeq lists it as uncharacterized. The transcript is spliced from 3 exons. The record is from RefSeq and is a predicted model, not a curated record. NCBI's taxonomy places the organism in Eukaryota, Metazoa, Chordata, Actinopteri, Cichliformes, Cichlidae.